GUCUAGGUUAGUGAGGCACCUCUUUCGAAGCGGCACUCGAGCUUCAGCUUUGGUAUGUGUUUGGUGUGUGGGGUGAGAUUUCGUCCAGCGAGCCGAAGCCCGCACCGCAAGACCUUGUCCCAGUCUUCACCGACAGCGAGGUCGGCCAGUGGCUGGGCCAGGAACAAGCGCCCGGGCGGUCCCACUAGGGGCCCGCACCGAGGGAACAUAACGACCAGGUUAGCAGGUAGACAAUAUAAUAGAUUCAAUGAUCCCUCCGCAGGUUCACCUACGGAGA
This 277-nucleotide unclassified non-coding RNA is filed under the name uncultured fungus. RNAcentral describes it as "sequence contains ITS1". The record is from RNAcentral. Lineage: Eukaryota; Fungi.